UGGGGAAUUUUGGACAAUGGGGGGAAACCCUGAUCCAGCCAUCCCGCGUGUGCGAUGAAGGCCUUCGGGUUGUAAAGCACUUUUGGCAGGAAAGAAACGUCGUGGGUUAAUACCCCGCGAAACUGACGGUACCUGCAGAAUAAGCACCGGCUAACUACGUGCCAGCAGCCGCGGUAAUACGUAGGGUGCAAGCGUUAAUCGGAAUUACUGGGCGUAAAGCGUGCGCAGGCGGUUCGGAAAGAAAGAUGUGAAAUCCCAGAGCUUAACUUUGGAACUGCAUUUUUAACUACCGGGCUAGAGUGUGUCAGAGGGAGGUGGAAUUCCGCGUGUAGCAGUGAAAUGCGUAGNUAUGCGGAGGAACACCGAUGGCGAAGGCAGCCUCUGGGAUAACACUGACGCUCAUGCACGAAAGCGUGGGGAGCAAACAGGAUUAGAUACCCUGGUAGU
RNAcentral lists this ribosomal RNA (447 nucleotides) under uncultured bacterium. RNAcentral describes it as "partial 16S ribosomal RNA". It matches the Rfam family "Bacterial small subunit ribosomal RNA", at positions 355 to 794 of the family's 1533-position model. The record is from RNAcentral.